This 2902-nucleotide ribosomal RNA is filed under the name Escherichia coli KTE165. Its description in RNAcentral is "bacterial LSU rRNA". It matches the Rfam family "Bacterial large subunit ribosomal RNA". Lineage: Bacteria; Pseudomonadati; Pseudomonadota; Gammaproteobacteria; Enterobacterales; Enterobacteriaceae. The record is from RNAcentral.
UUAAGCGACUAAGCGUACACGGUGGAUGCCCUGGCAGUCAGAGGCGAUGAAGGACGUGCUAAUCUGCGAUAAGCGUCGGUAAGGUGAUAUGAACCGUUAUAACCGGCGAUUUCCGAAUGGGGAAACCCAGUGUGUUUCGACACACUAUCAUUAACUGAAUCCAUAGGUUAAUGAGGCGAACCGGGGGAACUGAAACAUCUAAGUACCCCGAGGAAAAGAAAUCAACCGAGAUUCCCCCAGUAGCGGCGAGCGAACGGGGAGGAGCCCAGAGCCUGAAUCAGUGUGUGUGUUAGUGGAAGCGUCUGGAAAGGCGCGCGAUACAGGGUGACAGCCCCGUACACAAAAAUGCACAUACUGUGAGCUCGAUGAGUAGGGCGGGACACGUGGUAUCCUGUCUGAAUAUGGGGGGACCAUCCUCCAAGGCUAAAUACUCCUGACUGACCGAUAGUGAACCAGUACCGUGAGGGAAAGGCGAAAAGAACCCCGGCGAGGGGAGUGAAAAAGAACCUGAAACCGUGUACGUACAAGCAGUGGGAGCCUCUUAAUGGGGUGACUGCGUACCUUUUGUAUAAUGGGUCAGCGACUUAUAUUCUGUAGCAAGGUUAACCGAAUAGGGGAGCCGAAGGGAAACCGAGUCUUAACUGGGCGUUAAGUUGCAGGGUAUAGACCCGAAACCCGGUGAUCUAGCCAUGGGCAGGUUGAAGGUUGGGUAACACUAACUGGAGGACCGAACCGACUAAUGUUGAAAAAUUAGCGGAUGACUUGUGGCUGGGGGUGAAAGGCCAAUCAAACCGGGAGAUAGCUGGUUCUCCCCGAAAGCUAUUUAGGUAGCGCCUCGUGAAUUCAUCUCCGGGGGUAGAGCACUGUUUCGGCAAGGGGGUCAUCCCGACUUACCAACCCGAUGCAAACUGCGAAUACCGGAGAAUGUUAUCACGGGAGACACACGGCGGGUGCUAACGUCCGUCGUGAAGAGGGAAACAACCCAGACCGCCAGCUAAGGUCCCAAAGUCAUGGUUAAGUGGGAAACGAUGUGGGAAGGCCCAGACAGCCAGGAUGUUGGCUUAGAAGCAGCCAUCAUUUAAAGAAAGCGUAAUAGCUCACUGGUCGAGUCGGCCUGCGCGGAAGAUGUAACGGGGCUAAACCAUGCACCGAAGCUGCGGCAGCGACACUAUGUGUUGUUGGGUAGGGGAGCGUUCUGUAAGCCUGUGAAGGUGGCCUGUGAGGGUUGCUGGAGGUAUCAGAAGUGCGAAUGCUGACAUAAGUAACGAUAAAGCGGGUGAAAAGCCCGCUCGCCGGAAGACCAAGGGUUCCUGUCCAACGUUAAUCGGGGCAGGGUGAGUCGACCCCUAAGGCGAGGCCGAAAGGCGUAGUCGAUGGGAAACAGGUUAAUAUUCCUGUACUUGGUGUUACUGCGAAGGGGGGACGGAGAAGGCUAUGUUGGCCGGGCGACGGUUGUCCCGGUUUAAGCGUGUAGGCUGGUUUUCCAGGCAAAUCCGGAAAAUCAAGGCUGAGGCGUGAUGACGAGGCACUACGGUGCUGAAGCGACAAAUGCCCUGCUUCCAGGAAAAGCCUCUAAGCAUCAGGUAACAUCAAAUCGUACCCCAAACCGACACAGGUGGUCAGGUAGAGAAUACCAAGGCGCUUGAGAGAACUCGGGUGAAGGAACUAGGCAAAAUGGUGCCGUAACUUCGGGAGAAGGCACGCUGAUAUGUAGGUGAAGCGACUUGCUCGUGGAGCUGAAAUCAGUCGAAGAUACCAGCUGGCUGCAACUGUUUAUUAAAAACACAGCACUGUGCAAACACGAAAGUGGACGUAUACGGUGUGACGCCUGCCCGGUGCCGGAAGGUUAAUUGAUGGGGUUAGCGGUAACGCGAAGCUCUUGAUCGAAGCCCCGGUAAACGGCGGCCGUAACUAUAACGGUCCUAAGGUAGCGAAAUUCCUUGUCGGGUAAGUUCCGACCUGCACGAAUGGCGUAAUGAUGGCCAGGCUGUCUCCACCCGAGACUCAGUGAAAUUGAACUCGCUGUGAAGAUGCAGUGUACCCGCGGCAAGACGGAAAGACCCCGUGAACCUUUACUAUAGCUUGACACUGAACAUUGAGCCUUGAUGUGUAGGAUAGGUGGGAGGCUUUGAAGUGUGGACGCCAGUCUGCAUGGAGCCGACCUUGAAAUACCACCCUUUAAUGUUUGAUGUUCUAACGUGGGCCCCUUACCGGGGUUGCGGACAGUGUCUGGUGGGUAGUUUGACUGGGGCGGUCUCCUCCUAAAGAGUAACGGAGGAGCACGAAGGUUGGCUAAUCCUGGUCGGACAUCAGGAGGUUAGUGCAAUGGCAUAAGCCAGCUUGACUGCGAGCGUGACGGCGCGAGCAGGUGCGAAAGCAGGUCAUAGUGAUCCGGUGGUUCUGAAUGGAAGGGCCAUCGCUCAACGGAUAAAAGGUACUCCGGGGAUAACAGGCUGAUACCGCCCAAGAGUUCAUAUCGACGGCGGUGUUUGGCACCUCGAUGUCGGCUCAUCACAUCCUGGGGCUGAAGUAGGUCCCAAGGGUAUGGCUGUUCGCCAUUUAAAGUGGUACGCGAGCUGGGUUUAGAACGUCGUGAGACAGUUCGGUCCCUAUCUGCCGUGGGCGCUGGAGAACUGAGGGGGGCUGCUCCUAGUACGAGAGGACCGGAGUGGACGCAUCACUGGUGUUCGGGUUGUCAUGCCAAUGGCACUGCCCGGUAGCUAAAUGCGGAAGAGAUAAGUGCUGAAAGCAUCUAAGCACGAAACUUGCCCCGAGAUGAGUUCUCCCUGAGACUUUGAGACUCCUGAAGGAACGUUGAAGACGACGACGUUGAUAGGCCGGGUGUGUAAGCGCAGCGAUGCGUUGAGCUAACCGGUACUAAUGAACCGUGAGGCUUAACCUU